RNAcentral lists this ribosomal RNA (239 nucleotides) under uncultured Lactobacillus sp. RNAcentral's name for it is "partial 16S ribosomal RNA". It matches the Rfam family "Bacterial small subunit ribosomal RNA", at positions 125 to 356 of the family's 1533-position model. Lineage: Bacteria; Bacillati; Bacillota; Bacilli; Lactobacillales; Lactobacillaceae. The record is from RNAcentral.
CCGUAGCCCAAGAGAUCGGGAUAACACCUGGAAACAGAUGCUAAUACCGGAUAACAACAGAUGAUGCCUAUCAACUGUUUAAAAGAUGGUUCUGCUAUCACUCUUGGAUGGACCUGCGGUGCAUUAGCUAGUUGGUAGGGUAACGGCCUACCAAGGCGAUGAUGCAUAGCCGAGUUGAUAGACUGAUCGGCCACAUUGGGACUGAGACACGGCCCAAACUCCUACGGGAGGCAGCAGCG